AUGUAAUUGAGAUGUUGGGUUAAAUCCCGAAGGGAGCGCAACCCUUGAUGUUAGUUACCAGCAAUCAGUUGGGCACUUUAAGGUGAAUGCCGGUGACAAACCGGAGGAAGGUGGGGAUGACGUCAAAUCAUCAUUCCCCUUAUGACCUGGGCUACACACGUGCUACAAUGGACAGAACAAAGGGCUGCAAGACCGCAAGGUUCAGCCAAUCCCAUAAAUCUGUUUUCAGUUCGGAUCGCAGUUUGCAACUUGACUGCGUGAAGCUGGAAUCGCUAGUAAUCGCGGAUCAGCAUGCCGCGGUGAAUACGUUCCCGGGCUUUGUACACACCGCCCGUCACACCACGAGAGUUUGCAACCCCCGGAGUCGGUGAGGUAACCUUUAUGGAGCCAGCCGCCGAAGGUGGGGCAGAUGAUUGGGGUGAAGUCGUCACAAGGGAGCC
Molecule: ribosomal RNA, 440 nt
Filed under: Bacillus safensis
Lineage: Bacteria; Bacillati; Bacillota; Bacilli; Caryophanales; Bacillaceae
Description: bacterial SSU rRNA
Rfam family: Bacterial small subunit ribosomal RNA
Source: RNAcentral